UUUAUUUCUAGAUUCAUAAAAGAAAAAAUAUGGCUAAAAUUUAUAUAUUCAUUUGUGCUGUGAUUAUCAUUUUUUCCCUAUUUAUUUCAGUAACAAACUGUAUAGGUAAUUCUUAUCAACAAUUUUUAAUUUGGUGGAGUGGACACUAGUACUGGUACCCAAGAUUUAGUUGGGUACCGGUAUCAUUAUACCAAAUUUAAUAUCAUAGCAUAUUUUUAUAUUAAUUUAUAGAGUUAAAUAAGUUUUUCACUCAAAAUAUUUUAAGUACUUUCAACAAGGAUUAAUCCUUGAUCAAUUAUUUUUCGUAACGAUUUAUGGUCCUUGCUUUAGUAAGUCAACUCAAGUAUAUUAUUCGAAAUUUUGAAUUUUUUUUCGCAAUUUUGUUUACUACAUUAUAGAAACCUCUCAUAACACAAUUUAAUUUUUUUUUUUUAACAAAUGAUCAAUGAAAUAUGAAUUUUAAAGUUUUUGGUACUUAAAAUUCAUAUUUAAUUCAUCUUAGAUUAAAAUCUUCUAAAUUAUUGUGAGAGAUAUUAUAAACAAAGAAUAAUAAAACUCAUUCAAAAAUAUGAAAAUAUAUAUAAAUUGACUUAACAAUAAGGACAAAAAAUUAUCACAGAAAUUAUCAAGGAAACCAAAACAAAAUUAUUAUUAAGAUUAGAAACAAAAUUUAAAAUAUUUAUAAAAAUCAAAAUUUUAUUUAAACACUAGUUAUACCAGUAUCUAUUAAAAAUCAAGAUACCUAAGAAUUUUCUUUUUAUCUUAUUCAAAAUUGUUUCAUGUAUUUUGAUAUGUUUCCCUAAUUCUUAUUUGAUAUCACAGAACCACUGCCUAGCUGCGACAAGGAUUCCGAUUGUCCAAGGGAUUUGUGUUGGCCUCCUGAUUUUCCAAGAUGCAGGCAACAAAUGUGUUUGUGUUUCGCUAAUGAUAACUAGUCACUAGUUUCUCUUCUCUCC
This 956-nucleotide long non-coding RNA is filed under the name Trifolium pratense (red clover). RNAcentral describes it as "long non-coding RNA (TPRA_LNC011775)". The record is from RNAcentral. Lineage: Eukaryota; Viridiplantae; Streptophyta; Magnoliopsida; Fabales; Fabaceae.